CCUACGGGAGGCUGCAGUGAGGAAUAUUGGUCAAUGGCCGGAAGGCUGAACCAGCCAUGCCGCGUGAAGGUCAGUGCCCUAUGGGCGUUAAACCUCUUUUGUGCGGGAGCAAUAAUGGUCACGUGUGGCCAGACGAGAGUACCGUACGAAUAAGCAUCGGCUAACUCCGUGCCAGCAGCCGCGGUUAUUCGGGGGAAGCAAGCGUUAUCCGGAUUUAUUGGGUUUUAAGGGUGCGGAGGGUGGGCGGUAAGUCAGCGGUGAAAUGCCCCCGCUCAACGGGGUGAAGUGCCAUUGAUACUGGCUGGCUGGAAUGCGGAUGCCGUAGGAGGAAUGUGUGGUGUAGCGGUGAAAUGCAUAGAGAUCACACAGAACACCGAUUGCGAAGGCAGCUCACGAAGCCACGAUUGACGCUGAUGCACGAAAGCGUGGGUAUCAAACAGGAUUAGAUACCCGAGUAGUC
RNAcentral lists this ribosomal RNA (460 nucleotides) under uncultured bacterium. Its description in RNAcentral is "partial 16S ribosomal RNA". It matches the Rfam family "Bacterial small subunit ribosomal RNA", at positions 338 to 795 of the family's 1533-position model. The record is from RNAcentral.